RNAcentral lists this ribosomal RNA (761 nucleotides) under Prevotella melaninogenica. Its description in RNAcentral is "bacterial SSU rRNA". It matches the Rfam family "Bacterial small subunit ribosomal RNA", at positions 28 to 776 of the family's 1533-position model. The record is from RNAcentral. Lineage: Bacteria; Pseudomonadati; Bacteroidota; Bacteroidia; Bacteroidales; Prevotellaceae.
GAUGAACGCUAGCUACAGGCUUAACACAUGCAAGUCGAGGGGAAACGGCAUUGAGUGCUUGCACUCUUUGGACGUCGACCGGCGCACGGGUGAGUAACGCGUAUCCAACCUUCCCAUUACUGUGGGAUAACCUGCCGAAAGGCAGACUAAUACCGCAUAGUCUUCGAUGACGGCAUCAGAUUUGAAGUAAAGAUUUAUCGGUAAUGGAUGGGGAUGCGUCUGAUUAGCUUGUUGGCGGGGUAACGGCCCACCAAGGCUACGAUCAGUAGGGGUUCUGAGAGGAAGGUCCCCCACAUUGGAACUGAGACACGGUCCAAACUCCUACGGGAGGCAGCAGUGAGGAAUAUUGGUCAAUGGACGGAAGUCUGAACCAGCCAAGUAGCGUGCAGGAUGACGGCCCUAUGGGUUGUAAACUGCUUUUGUAUGGGGAUAAAGUUAGGGACGUGUCCCUAUUUGCAGGUACCAUACGAAUAAGGACCGGCUAAUUCCGUGCCAGCAGCCGCGGUAAUACGGAAGGUCCAGGCGUUAUCCGGAUUUAUUGGGUUUAAAGGGAGCGUAGGCUGGAGAUUAAGUGUGUUGUGAAAUGUAGACGCUCAACGUCUGAAUUGCAGCGCAUACUGGUUUCCUUGAGUACGCACAACGUUGGCGGAAUUCGUCGUGUAGCGGUGAAAUGCUUAGAUAUGACGAAGAACUCCGAUUGCGAAGGCAGCUGACGGGAGCGCAACUGGCGCUUAAGCUCGAAGGUGCGGGUAUCAAACAGG